This 253-nucleotide ribosomal RNA is filed under the name uncultured bacterium. Its description in RNAcentral is "partial 16S ribosomal RNA". It matches the Rfam family "Bacterial small subunit ribosomal RNA", at positions 524 to 776 of the family's 1533-position model. The record is from RNAcentral.
UACGGAGGGGACUAGCGUUGUUCGGAAUUACUGGGCGUAAAGCGCGCGUAGGCGGAUUUGCAAGUCGGGGGUGAAAGCCCGAGGCUCAACCUCGGAACUGCCCUCGAUACUGCAAAUCUCGAGUCCGAGAGAGGUGAGUGGAAUUCCUAGUGUAGAGGUGAAAUUCGUAGAUAUUAGGAAGAACACCAGUGGCGAAGGCGGCUUACUGGUCCGGUUCUGACGCUGAGGCGCGAAAGCGUGGGGAGCAAACAGG